Molecule: long non-coding RNA, 6555 nt
Filed under: Podarcis lilfordi (Lilford's wall lizard)
Lineage: Eukaryota; Metazoa; Chordata; Lepidosauria; Squamata; Lacertidae
Source: RNAcentral
GCGUGUUAUGGUUGGGAGCGUGUUAUAGGGCAAAAAAUACGGUCAUAUAUGUUUAUGUAACCUCUAGGCAAUCAGGGCUUUUUGUGGUGUGUUUUUUUAGAAGAUCUACCAUUAUGUUUUAUUUGCCUUUUUAUCAUAUAAUUUUUUUUAAAUCACGCUCAUUGAGCGUUCUGUUUAUAUAUCAUAAGAUUAUUUUCAACACAAAUUGGCAUUCAUUAUAACUCUAGAUUAUUCUUUUUUAAAAGAUGCAUUUUAAUUUGUAUAGAACAGUUUGCAUUAUUAGCAGUACAAUUAACGAUGACAAAUGCACUCAGAGCUAAUGGAAGAAAAUUAUUGUGAAAUUUCAGGUUUUCCUUUGCACCAAAUAGGAAUAGUAUCAUUGCAAGUCCUAAAACUGUAUCUUGUCAUGCUUAGUCAGGAUAUAAAAAGGUUCCAGGGCACUUUUUCAUUGCAGUAGAAGAAUUGCUAUGAGACUGAACCCGGUGGUGUUUGCAGCAUGCUUAAGGUAUGAAACAAUAAGAGAACAGUUAGGGUUGUUUUCCCUGUCUUCUUAACCCCCAAAAUAUUUGUGCAUAAUUUUAGUAAACAUAACUCACAAUUGCUUUGUCAAUUGAUACUACCCUCAUGAAGUGUCAAAAUGAACAGGUAGAACUUCCAUCGUCUUCUAUGAAAUCCCAGCAGAAUUGGAGCACAAAGUUUAAUCACAGCUUGAAAUUGAGCCCUUUGUUAAAGUUACUAACACUGCAUUGAACCUAUCCAAGGACAGUGGCAUUAAGAAACUUUCUAUUCACUCAGUAGAUUUAGGUCAAAGCCUUCAAUGGUGGUUCCAUGUAUUUAGGAGUGGAAGUGAGAGUUUCUGUGUUUGAGGAACUAAAUUACAUUUCUUUUACGAGGAAGCCAGAGUUGAGAGCUAUUUGUAGAUGAAUUUCCUGUAGCUUUAAUAUAAAUUGGGUAGGGAAGUUUGCCUGUCUUAUCAUUUGUUUCUAAGAAAGUUGCUGGUCUUAACAUCUGCCCUCUCAAAAACAAAAGGCAUAAUAAAAUCUCAGAACAUCCCAAACACCUGAGCAGCUUUCACAUUACCUGCAUUAUGCAGGUACAUAGGCAAAACAUGGAAUGGGGCUGCAUUGUUGGCCCCACCUCUGACAUGCACAGUCAUGCUAGAUCAACCCUACAAUGUCUGGACGUCUGAAGAUCUGACAAUACAUAAGAACUACUAUUCAGACAUCCAUGUUCAGUCUGUAUAUGGGAGGGAAGGCAACACUUUAUGGCUGCAAACUCACUGGUACCUCUGGGUAGACAUUGCAUAUUCUACAGAUAAAUACAGACGAUGCGGUCCUUGACCUUAAGCUUGCAAUCUAAAAAGACACAACGCAAAAGGAAAACAGAUUGGGAGGGAAGAGAAAACAAGCACAACAGAUACAAGUUCUUCUGAUGUCUAAUUGGGGUGCGGGAAACUCGAGGAGAGGAGAAACCAGCAAUUGCUUGUCUCCUAAGAUGUGCCCCUGCUUCUUUUCACUUCCCCUCUGCUACAGCCUGACGUAAUGGAUUCUGCCAGUGAAAUUGGGAGGGAGCAGCCUAGCUUCUCAGAAGAACUAACCAUUUGCCCCCUCUAAGGUCUGAUCCAGGACCCCAUUUCUGCAAUUUCCAUAGCUACCACUGAAGGAAAUCGAAGCUAUUUUCCUAAGUAAAUUGCACAGGGAGCAGGGGGGAGUUAAAGCUCCCCCCCCCCAUACCAGUGUAGAGUUUGGGUACACUAUAUUGAGAAAACCCCCAGCAACCAGGGCUGUGGGAUGCUUGCCCUCAAGGGCUAACUACGAAGUCAGAUGACUUGAAAAGUGAGACGUUAACUAACUAACUAAAGCUCUGUAAGAGGAAAAGUACGCUGCUGGGAAAAGUCGAUUGACUUUAUUCCAUUUGUUAACAUAUUACUAGCAUUAUGUCAGUGACAGACUGUGUAUGUUAAAUGACAGACAAAUUACAUCUUGUCAGGUAAUUUAAUAAGACUUGAAUGCUUAUUAAUGUAGGUUCUUCUUCUGCACAUAAGGCAGGUUUCGUAUUAUACAGCAGAAUUUCACGCAGAUGGGAGAAACGACAUUGCAGAUUUUCGGAAAUCCUUGGCAAGGGUUCUUAUCCCCCCCAAUCAUCUGUCAGUUUAGAAAACGUAUAUAUCACAUUUACUGUGUGUGUUGCAUCAUUCGAAAAUAUCAUAAACAGUCAUAAAUAUGAUAUUAAAACUACUGAAAUCUUAAUAUUCUUAAAAAUAGGCUCCUAAUUGAAGCAUCCCAUUUAAUAUUCAUACUUAGAUUAAGAGGUAUGAACGAACAUUUCCUCUGCAACAUGGUGCUUUUGCAAAACCAACAACAAUUGCUGCACAGUAGUAUCCACUUGGAACUGCGAGUCAUAAUACAGCCAAAAUUAACUAUUUAAUAUACAGAAGUCUAUUAAGAACUGAUUCAUAGUGAUGUUCCUCUUGGAGAUUACUGGGAAACAUGCACUCUUGCUCCAAUCUCCUGCAAUUAUAGUCAGAGAAAAAUUAUAUUCAAAUAUUAAAGAGACUACCAGUCAUCCAUAGAAUUGCCAUAAUUAAGAAAGAACAGUCCUUGAAUAGUCAUUAAGUAGUCUUAGCAAUUCAGAUUAAGCUUAGUAAAGUGAAAGGAAGCUCUUUCCACUGUACAGUAGCCUUUUCAGUGUCUCUUCAUCAUAAUGAAAAUGUGAAUAGUUCUGUCCCACUAGAAUUACUCUAGCGUCUAUUCUUAGGUCAUUACGUUUAAGAAUAUGAAGCUGACAAUGAUUGAAAAUGCCGACAUUUAUAGAGAUGCCUGCCUGUUAACUGUGAUUUUCCCUAGUUUAUAGAAUAUCCUUAAGUUAUCUGUGAAAUCAGUUGACAAAGCAGAAAGACUGACAUCGCAGAUUAUUCAGUGCAAUGAGUACAUCACCAAAAAUGCAUGCUCAUUGUAUAGAUUUCUGAGUAUUUCUCCUAGUCUCUUAAAGACUUUUAUCAGUAAGUAUUCACAUUGUACGUAAACAUUUAUUCAGCAUUAUACCUCCUCUCUCUCUGACUUCCCCUGCCCUAAGGAGAAAUGGCAAUACCUUUAGAAUUCCCAGUUCCUAGCUAUGUCUGAAACAUACACACAUGCUGAAUACUCUCAAUUUUACACUCAGGCUAUGAAAUUUUAAUUUCUAACUUUCUUAAAAAUUGAGAAAGUUACGGUUUCUGGAACAUUUCCACUGCAUCUCGCGAUUAUGGGAUAUUUUUUGUGUUUAAUGUCUAAAAGACUACUGUAUUUACAAAUACUGAAAAAGGAAAUACUAUAAUUUUAAUAAAAGACUCAGACAUUUUUGCCCAGCUAUGUGCUUUCCCAGAAAGUCUUUUCAAACAUCAUCAUCAGAUCACUUUUUAAUGUUGCGCUUCAGGCUUUCUGGUAGAAUUAUUGUCGUGAGUCAUAUUUAACCUUUGUACAAUUUCGGGUUGCAGGCAGAGGUAGAGAUGAAAUACUUCUUCAUCCUGAAGUACGCCAAUGAUUCUUUACAGUCAUUGGAGACUGACAUGCAGUUAAGAGCUUAGACAGGGAGCUACAUCAGAAAUGAAAUCUUUGUUUUGUCUGCUUCCUAUUAUCACCUGGCGAUUUGCUAAUCAGCUGACCAGUUAAGGAAGAGCUUUUCUAUGUGAGGCCCCAUUGGUAAAGCGAAACCAUUUUCGGACACAAACAUGAGGAAUGUAUAGCAGCCAUGAUUUCUGAGUGGCUAUAUGUUUUCUGUUUUGAGUGGCGCUGUGAUGAGGUUUUUACGAAUCCUUGUGUGCAGCAUCUGCAGAUAAUAAAGAAGCACUUAUUUUUGUAAUUUCUUUGUGCUACUACUGAUAUUGAAAUGCCCCUCCCCGAAUGCUAUGGCAGUAAGUCAUGUGACAGAAACUCAUGUGUCAGAGUUGGCAUAUGCUGAAUACGGAUGUUUGAGAAUUUAGCCAGAAACAGAAGUGCAAAUUCCUGGUGUUUGCUUAUUUGUCCCAUGUCCAGAACAAAAAGCCAUCAGGCCAAUAACUAUUGAUAUUUACUGUUGCUAUUGUUUUCAGUCUCCAAAUGAUACAUAACUGCUCAUGUUCGCUCCCACCACCACCACAUUUCCAUUUCGUUUCCUUUCCAUUGAAAUGAAUGGUUUGGGAAAAUAUAAUAUAUUACAUAAUUAAUUAUGUAAAAUUCCAUCCCAACAGAUUUUGUUGUUGUUUAGUCGUGUCCGACUCUUCGUGACCCCAUGGACCAGAGCAUGCCAGGCACCUCCUGUCUUCCACUGCCUCCCGCAGUUUGGUCAGGCUCAUGUUUGUAGCUUCGAGAACACUAUCCAACCAUCUCGUCCUCUGUCGUCCCCUUCUCCUUGUGCCCUCCCUCUUUCCCAACAUCAGGGUCUUUUCCAGGGAGUCUUCUCUUCUCAUGAGGUGGCCAAAGUAUUGGAGCCUCAACUUCACGAUCUGUCCUUCCAGUGAGCACUCAGGGCUGAUUUCCUGAAGAAUGGAUAGGUUUGAUCUUCUUGCAGUCCAUGGGACUCUCAAGAGUCUCCUCCAGCACCAUAAUUCAAAAGCAUCAAUUCUUCAGCGAUCAGCCUUCUUGAUGGUCCAGCUCUCACUUCCAUACAUCACUACUGGGAAAACCAUGGCUUUAACUAUACAGACCUUUGUUGGCAAGGUGAUGUCUCUGCUAUCCCAACAGAUAGCGAGAUGUAAAGCGUAUUUUUUUUUAAUCAGAAACCAAACUGUAGCAGAAUGGAGACAGCACUGCAUGCAAAAUGAAAACAGUUGAGAACAGAAAUCAGUUCUUUUUUACAUUUCUAAUCCUGAAUUAUUUAGCAAAAGAGGCUAGGUCUGAAUUGAAUGUUCAGGAGUGCCCCUUUGAAAGAAGUCAGUUUAAAAUGCAUAGGGAUCAAUAAAAAUAUGUGUAUCCUGUGCAUCUAGAGAUCUCCUUCUUUAAUUUUUAUUUCAGUUGGUCCCUCCUCACCUAUUUUUCUUGUUCAUGCUUCUUUUUGGUCAUAAUUCCUUAGCUUAGGAUAUGGUAGAUGGCCACAUCAUCAUAGUGAAUGUGCUGAGAAUCCCAGAGAAUAUUUGGCAUACCAGUUUUCUUUUUUUAUUUAUAAAAAAUACUUAUAGGCCAUUCAUAUAAAAUAUCAGGGCAGUAUCCAACCAAAUGUGCAAGUAUAAUCAAACAUAAAAUACUGCAAAAACAAUAGAAUACAAUAUUUGGUUUGGAUGUGCAAAUAAGGGGUCCUGCACCAAAGAGCUUUUAAAAAUAAAUAAAUGAACACCUGUCGUGCUGUGGCUACCGGGGAAUUGCUAUUUUUAAUGAUUUAAAGUCUGCCCUGGACUAUACAGAGGAAGCCACAGCAGUAACGAAUUGACUUCUGAGGAAUCCACUGCACAAUGGGCAAGCCCAAUGGAGAGUCCUUAGAAGUCUCUUCCUAUAGGAUUGAGAGGGACAUGGAUGCAUAUGCCAGAUUCCAAAGAACCAUCUGACAAGUUUCACGUAUCCAAAGGAGACCUUCGGCUUGUCUGUAUUGGAUAGCACCUGUGUUGAAACUGAGUUUCAAUAGUAUUUUGUAAUAUUGCAUGAGGGCCUGCAGUUUAAAGUGGGGGAAUGGGCUGUAGUACGCAUAUCAAGCAUCGCGACUCUUGGCCAAAGUUCCUCAACUAGAACUUGUAGGUGAUCAUUCUUAGGUAAGGUCAUUCUCAUUGGCAAUGCUCCCCCCCCCCUUAAAAAUUUUUUUAGGGUUACUCUCAUUUUGACUCAAGAAAAUCAGCAUUUUAUAGUUCAAAUCGGGGAAAAUAAAAUGAAUAAAUAAAUGGACGAAAGUACAAAGAUUCGCAAAAUGUUUAGGGGUUUGCGUACCCCUGUGUCUCCCCAGAAAAAGCACUGCUUAUGGGAGAUCAAUACGUUGUCUCUAGGAUGUGGUAAAAGGGGUUCCCCUAAAUAGCAGAGACUGCUCAAGAGUCACCACAAGGCCAGUAUCUAAAGAUAAGGGAAUCUUUAAAAUAAAUAAAAAAUCCAAACAAAUUAUUUAAAGCUGCUAUGAUUUUUUUUUUUUUAAUUUUGCCCCUGGUUUGUAGAAUAGAAUUUUCAUUUUUCUUUCUUACUGGUUCCAUGUUCUCAAAUGGGAAUACUGGUUUGGGUGCUGGAGAAAUGCAACCUCCUUUCACUGUACAGUGUAAAAGUAAAAUGAAAUGAAAUCUGUAUUUGGCUUCGAGGCCUGGAUUAAAUAGUGUAUUAGUCACUCGCUAUUGGAUUUGUGUCUGCUACACAUAAUCAAAUCUAUUGCUAAUUGAACAAAAAGGGAUUACAUUGACUGGCUAUAAAAAGGCUUAAGUAUAAAGAUUCCAAAUGGAUAAACCGGCAGCGCUGGCUCAGUGUGUUAUGUUGACUGAGGUGAAAGGAAAAAGGUGCCCAAGACCAGUACUCCUACUGAAGAAAAUAAACAGCAGAAUAAAGCCAUAUGCAGAUACAUUGCUCUAUGGAUAACUCUUCAGCAGAUUCAAAAUUAUAGUUGUGAAUCUGAUAAUUUGUAUUGCAUACUUAC